Molecule: ribosomal RNA, 188 nt
Filed under: uncultured bacterium
Lineage: Bacteria
Description: partial 16S ribosomal RNA
Rfam family: Bacterial small subunit ribosomal RNA
Source: RNAcentral
CCUGCAUGAAGCCGGAAUUGCUAGCAAUGGCAGGUCAGCAUACUGCCGUGAAUACGUUCCCGGGCCUUGUACACACCGCCCGUCACACCAUGAGAGUUGGGAAUACCCGAAGCCUGUGAGCUAACUAUUUAUAGAGGCAGCAGUCGAAGGUAGAAUCAAUGAUUGGGGUGAAGUCGUAACAAGGUACC